AAAUAUAGGUACCUAAAAUUUCUUUAACAUUCUAACAUGUUAUCAAACACAUAUACCCUAUAACUUCAUUAACAUUGCAGGUUAUCAAACACAUAUACCUAGAACUUCCUUAACAUUCGAGUAUUAACAAUUCCAGAGAGAACAUUCCACUUCCCAAAAAAAAACUUCCAAUUUUUAGAAAAUGUUUACCUAUCAACAAUCAAAUAGGCUCUAAGUCACAGACAGAAGCGGAGAACAUUUUUCUAAAUGACUGAACAACCAUAUUUGAAGUGUUCGGCUGAUCUCCAUUCAUGUUAGCAUCAUUGUGAAGAUUUUGGAUUAUUGCGACAUAUGAACCCCAAAGAG
This 345-nucleotide long non-coding RNA is filed under the name Amborella trichopoda. RNAcentral's name for it is "long non-coding RNA (ATRI_LNC001525)". Lineage: Eukaryota; Viridiplantae; Streptophyta; Magnoliopsida; Amborellales; Amborellaceae. The record is from RNAcentral.